AAUUGGAGGGCAAGUCUGGUGCCAGCAGCCGCGGUAAUUCCAGCUCCAAUAGCGUAUAUUAAAGUUGUUGCAGUUAAAAAGCUCGUAGUUGAAUUUCGGGAUUGACGUGAUGGUCGUGCCUUAAGGGGUAUGAACUGUCGCAGUUGAUUUCUCACCUUCUGGAGAAGCAUGAUGUCCUUAAUUGGGUGUCAUGCGGAACCAGGACCUUUACCUUGAAAAAAUUAGAGUGUUUAAAGCAGGCAUUUUGCUCGAAUACAUUAGCAUGGAAUAAUAGAAUAGGACGGCAUGGUUCUAUUUUGUUGGUUUCUAGGAUCACCGUAAUGAUUAAUAGGGAUAGUUGGGGGCAUUAGUAUUCAAUUGUCAGAGGUGAAAUUCUUGGAUUUAUUGAAGACUAACUACUGCGAAAGCAUUUGCCAAGGAUGUUUUCAUUAAUCAAGAACGAAAGUUAGGGGAUCGAAGACGAUCAGAUACCGUCGUAGUCUUAACCAUAAACUAUGCCGACUAGGAAUCAGACGAUGUUAAUUUUUUAAUGACUCGUUUGGCACCUUACGGGAAACCAAAGUGU
RNAcentral lists this ribosomal RNA (565 nucleotides) under uncultured Glomus. RNAcentral describes it as "SSU rRNA". It matches the Rfam family "Eukaryotic small subunit ribosomal RNA", at positions 546 to 1106 of the family's 1831-position model. The record is from RNAcentral. Lineage: Eukaryota; Fungi; Glomeromycota; Glomeromycetes; Glomerales; Glomeraceae.